This 497-nucleotide ribosomal RNA is filed under the name uncultured bacterium. RNAcentral describes it as "partial 16S ribosomal RNA". It matches the Rfam family "Bacterial small subunit ribosomal RNA", at positions 28 to 507 of the family's 1533-position model. The record is from RNAcentral.
GAUGAACGCUGGCGGCGUGCCUAAUACAUGCCAGUCGAGCGAACAGACGAGGAGCUUGCUCCUCUGACGUUAGCGGCGGACGGGUGAGUAACACGUGGAUAACCUACCUAUAAGACUGGGAUAACUUCGGGAAACCGGAGCUAAUACCGGAUAACAUGUUGAACCGCAUGGUUCAACAGUGAAAGACGGUUUUGCUGUCACUUAUAGAUGGAUCCGCGUCGCAUUAGCUAGUUGGUAAGGUAACGGCUUACCAAAGCAACGAUGCGUAGCCGACCUGAGAGGGUGAUCGGCCACACUGGAACUGAGACACGGUCCAGACUCCUACGGGAGGCAGCAGUAGGGAAUCUUCCGCAAUGGGCGAAAGCCUGACGGAGCAACGCCGCGUGAGUGAAGAAGGUCUUCGGAUCGUAAAACUCUGUUAUUAGGGAAGAACAAAUGUGUAAGUAACUAUGCACGUCUUGACGGUACCUAAUCAGAAAGCCACGGCUAACUACGUG